AUUGAACGCUGGCGGCAGGCUUAACACAUGCAAGUCGAGCGGGGUGAUGGUGCUUGCACUAUCACUUAGCGGCGGACGGGUGAGUAAUGCUUAGGAAUCUGCCUAUUAGUGGGGGACAACAUCUCGAAAGGGAUGCUAAUACCGCAUACGUCCUACGGGAGAAAGCAGGGGAUCACUUGUGACCUUGCGCUAAUAGAUGAGCCUAAGUCGGAUUGGCUAGUUGGUGGGGUAAAGGCCUACCAAGGCGACGAUCUGUAGCGGGUCUGAGAGGAUGAGCCGCCACACUGGGACUGAGACACGGCCCAGACUCCUACGGGAGGCAGCAGUGGGGAAUAUUGGACAAUGGGGGGAACCCUGAUCCAGCCAUGCCGCGUGUGUGAAGAAGGCCUUAUGGUUGUAAAGCACUUUAAGCGAGGAGGAGGCUCUUUUGGUUAAUACCCAAGAUGAGUGGACGUUACUCGCAGAAUAAGCACCGGCUAACUCUGUGCCAGCCGCCGCGGUAA
RNAcentral lists this ribosomal RNA (503 nucleotides) under uncultured bacterium. RNAcentral's name for it is "partial 16S ribosomal RNA". It matches the Rfam family "Bacterial small subunit ribosomal RNA", at positions 30 to 523 of the family's 1533-position model. The record is from RNAcentral.